This 264-nucleotide ribosomal RNA is filed under the name uncultured bacterium. Its description in RNAcentral is "partial 16S ribosomal RNA". It matches the Rfam family "Bacterial small subunit ribosomal RNA", at positions 793 to 1055 of the family's 1533-position model. The record is from RNAcentral.
GUCCACGCCCUAAACGAUGGCAACUAGUUGUUGGGGGAGCAAUCCCUUAGUAACGAAGCUAACGCGUGAAGUUGCCCGCCUGGGGAGUACGGUCGCAAGAUUAAAACUCAAAGGAAUUGACGGGGGCCCGCACAAGCGGUGGAUGAUGUGGUUUAAUUCGAUGCAACGCGAAAAACCUUACCUACCCUUGACAUGCCCGGAACGCCGCUGAGAGGUGGUGGUGCCCGAAAGGGAGCCGGGGCACAGGUGCUGCAUGGCUGUCGU